UCAAGCUGUAAAGGGCGCAAGGGGAAUGCCUUGGCACUGAGAGCCGACGAAGGACGCGACAAGCUGCGAUAAGCUACGGGGAGCCGCAAAUGGGCUUUGAUCCGUGGAUUUCCGAAUGGGGAAACCCGAUGGAGCAAUACUCCAUCAACCAUGACUGAAUACAUAGGUGUACGUGGGGAACCGCCUGAACUGAAACAUCUAAGUAGGGCGAGGAAGAGAAAUCAACCGAGAUUCCGCUAGUAGUGGCGAGCGAACGCGGAAGAGGCCAAACCGGAGGUAGCAAUAUUUCCGGGGUUAGGACUGCAAUAUGUAACUUUAAUCUUUAACUGAAUGCUUUGGGAAGAGCAGCGAUACAGGGUGAUAGCCCCGUAAGUGAAAAGGAUUGAGUGCUAGCAGUAUCCAGAGUACCAGCGGACACGUGAAACCCGCUGGGAAGAUGGGGGGACCAUCCUCCAAGCCUAAAUACUACUCAGUGACCGAUAGUGGAGCAGUACCGUGAGGGAAAGGUGAAAAGUACCCCGGGAGGGGAGUGAAAAAGAACCUGAAACCUUGUGCCUACAAGCACCGAGAGUCCGUUAAUGGAUGAUCGGGUACUUUUUGUAGAACGGUCCGGCGAGUUAAUAUUUGCAGCGAGGUUAAGGAACUGGAGUUCCGGAGCCGCAGCGAGAGCGAGUCUGAAAAGGGCGUAUGAAGUUGCAGGUAUUAGACCCGAAACCGGGUGACCUAUCCAUGAGCAGGCUGAAGCGGUGGUAAGACACCGUGGAGGGCCGCACCCACGUCUGUUGAAAAAGCCGGGGAUGACUUGUGGAUAGCGGAGAAAUUCCAAUCGAACUCGGAGAUAGCUGGUUCUCCCCGAAAUAGCUUUAGGGCUAGCGUUAUUUUAGAUUACCGGAGGUAAAGCACUGAAUGGUCUAGGGGCCGCGAGGUUACCAAAGCCUAUCAAACUCUGAAUGCCGGAUAAUUGAUGAAUAGCAGUCAGACUGUGUGAGAUAAGUCUCAUAGUCAAAAGGGAAACAGCCCAGAUCUACAGCUAAGGUCCCAAAUGAACACUAAGUGGAAAAUGAUGUGAAACUGCGAAGACAACCAGGAUGUUGGCUUAGAAGCAGCCACUCAUUCAAAGAGUGCGUAAUAGCUCACUGGUCGAGUGGUUUUGCGCAGAAAAUGUAACGGGGCUAAGUGUUCAACCGAAGCUUAGGCAUUGCAGCAAUGCAUUGGGUAGGGGAGCGUCGUAUGCGGGGUGAAGUCAGAGCGGAAGCACUGGUGGACUGCAUACGAGUGAGAAUGCCGGAAUAAGUAGCGAGAAUUAUGUGAGAAUCAUAAUGGCCGAAAAUCUAAGGUUUCUUGGGGAAGGUUCGUCCGCCCAAGGUUAGUCGGGAGCUAAGCUCAGGCCGAAAGGCGUAGGCGAUGCACAUACGGUAGAAAUUCCGUAACCACCGAACAUUUAAGCUAGAGGGACGCUUUCUUUAAGUCUAUCCCGGGCGAUGGUUGCCCCGGGCGUAAGGGACCGAAAUUUAGUAGGGAAGUAACUGGCGAGAGAGACGAGAAAAGCUCUAGUGUAUACUAAGGUGCCCGUACCGCAAACCGACACAGGUAGAUGGGAUGAGUAUUCUAAGGCCAACGGGAGAAGGGUUGUUAAGGAACUCGGCAAAUUGGCCCCGUAACUUCGGGAUAAGGGGCGCCUGCGAGAGCAGGCCGCAGUGAAAAGGCCCAAGCGACUGUUUAGCAAAAACACAGCUCUCUGCUAAAUCGAAAGAUGACGUAUAGGGGGUGACGCCUGCCCGGUGCUGGAAGGUUAAGGGGAGUGCUUAGCGCAAGCGAAGGUGCGAACUUAAGCCCCAGUAAACGGCGGCCGUAACUAUAACGGUCCUAAGGUAGCGAAAUUCCUUGUCAGGUAAGUUCUG
Molecule: ribosomal RNA, 1901 nt
Filed under: human gut metagenome
Description: bacterial LSU rRNA
Rfam family: Bacterial large subunit ribosomal RNA
Source: RNAcentral